RNAcentral lists this non-coding RNA (18 nucleotides) under Arabidopsis thaliana (thale cress). Lineage: Eukaryota; Viridiplantae; Streptophyta; Magnoliopsida; Brassicales; Brassicaceae. The record is from RNAcentral.
GGCGUCGGCCUGUGGGCU